UACGGAAGGGUGCGAAGCGUGUUCGGAAUCAUUGGGCGUAAGCGCGCGCAGGCGGAUCAGCAAGUCAGAUGUGAAAUCUCGAAGCUCAACUUCGAAACUGCGUCUGAAACUGCUAGUGCUAGAAGUGUCGGAGGGGGCAGGGGAAUUUCACGUGUACGGGGUAAAAUCCGUAGAGAUGUGAAGGAACACCCGGAGGCGAAGGCGGCC
RNAcentral lists this ribosomal RNA (207 nucleotides) under uncultured bacterium. Its description in RNAcentral is "partial 16S ribosomal RNA". It matches the Rfam family "Bacterial small subunit ribosomal RNA", at positions 524 to 726 of the family's 1533-position model. The record is from RNAcentral.